RNA transcript from Nematostella vectensis (starlet sea anemone), 1479 nucleotides. It is a transcript of the gene named ubiquinone biosynthesis protein COQ9, mitochondrial, with no coding region annotated. The record is from RefSeq and is a predicted model, not a curated record. Lineage: Eukaryota; Metazoa; Cnidaria; Anthozoa; Actiniaria; Edwardsiidae. The transcript has 9 exons.
CUGUGUCAGAGCUCGCAUUGCAUCACUGCUCUAUUUCAAAAUGGCGGUGUAUUUAUUCCGUUCCUGUCUCGCAAGACAAUUUGGCAAUCUGCGAGUUGGAGUUCUAGGUAUCUCCAGACAUCACCUUCACACUGAUGACCGUAAAACGCCUGGUGUAGAUGAAACUGAAGAUCCCCACAGGACACAGGGGACUGGAGAUUCCAGUAAGUCACCUGAAUCAGGGCACAAAGCAGCCGACCAGUCUUACGAAGAUGGAGGGGAAUAUGGAGUCCCAGACGAAGAAGAUGAGAAUGAUGUCAAAAACAAGAUUCUCGUAGCUGCACUUGGCCAUGUUCACACCCAUGGAUGGACUUCAAGCACCAUCGCCACAGGAGCUCAGUCAUUAGGGCUGUCAGCCAUGGCGGAGGGGAUGUUUCCGCGUGGAGGAGGGGACUUGGCGCUGUUUUAUAUUGAGGACUGCAACCUGAGACUUGCUGACUAUCUUGUGGAGCAAACUCAGGCUUUACAGGAGAGUCAAGAUGCUCCUCGUCCACGGUCCUCUGUGGUUAUCCGGGAUGCGCUGGAGACUCGCCUGCGCAUGAUUAUACCAUACAUCAGCACCUGGCCCCAGGCAAUGCAGUUGAUGAUGCGACCUGAAAAUGCUCCUGAUGCUCUAAAGAAUGUGGCCUACAUGGUUGAUGAGAUAUGGUACCAUGCGGGUGACACUUCUACAGAUUAUAACUGGUACACCAAACGUGCCAUGCUGGCCGCCUUGUAUGGUGCCACAGAGGUGUACAUGGUGCGAGACCAGUCAGAGGACUUUACCAAUACCUGGGCCUUCCUAGAUAAUAGAAUUGCAGACAUCAAAGAGAUGGCCAAGAUGAGAGAUAAUUUUCAGAAAGCCGGCAUGGACUCUACUCAACUGAUCUCCGCUGCAAUGACAACAAUCCGAAACAUGGCUGGCUUCAACAAACGAUCAAGAUAAAAGUAUUUCCCAACAGAGAACAGAGCUUAAGAUUAAUUACUAGUUUUGACGAGCGGGAACCUGAUAAAAGUGGGCACAACUUUUCACAUUUUGUUUUUGUAAAUAAAAACGACUUUUGUUGUUGUUGAUCUCUCGUGCACAAAAAUUAACAAAAUAAAUCACCCAAUUCUAGGAUCACCUUAUCCUCUACAUUUUUUGCAUUUUAUCUAUUUUUGCCGUUUCAGUAUUUGUGUGGGUUGUGGCUAGCGAAAGCCGUUUGACGAUUGUUUGUUUGUUAACCUUGUCACGCAACGCCCGUCACGCGACUAGAGUUAGGGACACGUACUUCAACGAAUACAAAAGGUUUCCACAGCAUUACAACUAUUUUCAAUACUUUCUGAUGAAUGUGUGAUUCUAACUGGUCUUGGGAAACAAGGUGCGCAUUUCCAACCUAGCUAAGUAACGCUUGAAACGUAUGAAAUACUUUAAGUCACGAAAAGAUUUCAGUUCAGAAGAUAUCGGAGGAGAAAGAGAGA